UCGAGAAUCUUCGGCAAUGCGCGAAAGCGUGACCGAGCAAUGCCGCGUGCGGGAUGAAGGCCCUCGGGUUGUAAACCGCGAAAGUAAGGAGGAAGGCUCCGUGAAGAGCGGAGUUUGACCAAUUUACAGUAAGGACGGGCUAAGUUCGUGCCAGCAGCCGCGGUAAGACGAACCGUCCAAACGUUAUUCGGAAUUAUUGGGCUUAAAGGGUGCGUAGGCGGCGCUGUAAGUCAGGUGUGAAAUCCCACGGCUCAACCGUGGAACUGCGCUUGAUACUGCAGUGCUUGAGGGAGACAGAGGUAAGCGGAACUGAUGGUGGAGCGGUGAAAUGCGUUGAUAUCAUCAGGAACACCAGUGGCGAAAGCGGCUUACUGGGUCUCUUCUGACGCUGAGGCACGAAAGCUAGGGUAGCGAACGGGAUUAGAUACCCCCGUAGUCC
This 439-nucleotide ribosomal RNA is filed under the name uncultured prokaryote. Its description in RNAcentral is "bacterial SSU rRNA". It matches the Rfam family "Bacterial small subunit ribosomal RNA", at positions 355 to 796 of the family's 1533-position model. The record is from RNAcentral.